ACAAAAUCGACGAAGCUUGCAAAAAGUUUUGAAGGUGAGCUGCGUUCGUGGUCGGUGUGAAUUUCAAAUCGGCUAAUUUUGUUGUCAUAUAUAUCCAGUGGAAUUUUAAAUUAGUGUCAAACAAUUGUUCAGCGGCUCGUUUGUUUAAACAACCUAAAGCAACUAAUUACCAGUCCUGAAGUAAAAAAUACGAGAAAGGCAAAAAUAAUGGCUGACGAAAGUCUUCUGAACGAUUCCAAUUUGGGAGCUCUGGGGUCGAAUGAUGAUGACUCGGAAUUGAUUCUUGAGGAUGACUAUUUGAAAGGCGCUGACAUGCAGAUAGAUCCCGAACUAGAAGCAAUCAAGGCUCGGGUAAAAGAAAUGGAGGAGGAAGCUGAAAAACUGAAACAACUUCAAACGGAAGUUACCAAACAAAUGACGCUUGGAUCCCCCACCGGGGUUACUCCAAUUCUUACGGCAGAAGAAAAGGCCGAAAUUGAUAACCGUUCAAUUUACGUUGGCAAUGUUGACUACGGCGCGACAGCCGAAGAGCUAGAGGCCCACUUCCACGGUUGUGGAACCAUCAAUAGGGUAACGAUUCUGUGCAAUAAAGCCGACGGUCAUCCGAAGGGUUUCGCCUACAUAGAAUUUGGCUCGAAAGAAUUUGUCGAAACAGCGUUGGCCAUGAACGAAACCCUCUUCCGUGGACGGCAAAUCAAGGUAAAUCCGAAACGUACAAACCGGCCAGGAAUGUGCACCACCAACCGAUUCCCCCGAGGAUCUGCCGUUCGUGGACGGGGCGCUCGGAUCGCGAGGGGGGCAUGCUGCUACGGAGGACACCGAGGAUCACGAAGACCUGCUCGCGGAUAUCGAGGAAGAGCCACCUACUACGCACCGUAUUAGGGAACCUAGUAAAAUGGGCCCGACACGACCACACAAUACAGCGUACACGUUUAGUUUACAGCAUCCCUAGAGAUAAGCCGGCAUGGAACACUGGGAAGCACCAGUUCCAAACUAGGAUUAUUACAUAUUAUUAUAUUUGAUUGCAAACAUCUUUUCAAAAAACAUUAUUUGUCUUCGAAUUUUCUCUGAAUAUAACGAUGCAUUGCACUGAUACUGUUCCCAAUCGUAGAAGCCAUUGUGAUAUAGUAGCCAUUCUUGAGAAUAAUGUUUUUUGAAUUCGUUCAAAACAGUCAAACAAAACAAUGGAACAAAAAUGCCACAUCAAAAAAGAUCCAUUCGAUUGACAAAAAAAGCCAACACGAAAAGAUGCGGAACGAUGAAAAAAAUGUGGAAAACACCAAAAGAUGGCAAAAUAAAAGACAAAAUGAUAAAAAAGGAAGGCAAAAGAUACAGAAAAUCCGCCAGCAUCACAAAAAAAUCCAUGGCAAUGAGAAAAGAAGACAAAUGUUUCGAAAAAAAAGUUUAAGCGAAAAGAUACAACCGAUGAAAAGAGGACCUGGAGCCCACAGUGAAAAAAGAUGAAAACAAGGAGCAACAGCGAAAAAAGCGGAGACGACAACAUUUAGAUUGAAAAUCAAAAAAAAAUUAUAAGAAAAACGUCAAGAGGUUUAAGUAUUAAAGAAUGCAUAUAUCGUAAGGAUAAAA
Molecule: RNA transcript, 1587 nt
Organism: Armigeres subalbatus
Lineage: Eukaryota; Metazoa; Arthropoda; Insecta; Diptera; Culicidae
Gene: Pabp2
Gene name: polyadenylate-binding protein 2
Exons: 5
Source: RefSeq, a predicted model, not a curated record